Molecule: ribosomal RNA, 260 nt
Filed under: uncultured bacterium
Lineage: Bacteria
Description: partial 16S ribosomal RNA
Source: RNAcentral
CUGCUGCCUCCCGUAGGAGUCUGGGCCGUGUCUCAGUCCCAAUGUGGCCGUCCACCCUCUCAGGCCGGCUACUGAUCGUCGCCUUGGUGGGCCGUUACCCCGCCAACAAGCUAAUCAGACGCGGACCCAUCCCGCACCGCAUACGCUUUCCGCGCGGCCCCAUGCGGGGCCGUGCGCAUAUGCGGUAUUAGCAGCCGUUUCCGGCUGUUGUCCCCCAGUGCGGGGUAGGUUGUCCACGCGUUACUCACCCGUCCGCCACU